GGUUUUACCAUGCUGGGCAGCUAAACCCCACAACCACUCGCAGGUGGUUUUCCCAGGGUGAGGCUCAUCUCCUGCACUCCGGGUGUGCUGACCCCUGCGAUUUCCCCAAAUGCGGGAAACUCGACUGCAUAAUUUGUGGUAGUGGGGGACUGCGUUUGCGCUCUCCCCUG
This is a small nuclear RNA of Anas platyrhynchos (mallard), 170 nucleotides long. RefSeq annotates it as U1 spliceosomal RNA. The record is from RefSeq and is a predicted model, not a curated record. Lineage: Eukaryota; Metazoa; Chordata; Aves; Anseriformes; Anatidae.